GCGUCGGUAGUGCAAAUGGUUAGCACGUGGUCCCGGAUAAGGUGAAAUGCAGGUUCGAGACCCGCCUGACGCG
This is a non-coding RNA of Parelaphostrongylus tenuis, 73 nucleotides long. The record is from the annotation of a GenBank genome assembly. NCBI's taxonomy places the organism in Eukaryota, Metazoa, Nematoda, Chromadorea, Rhabditida, Metastrongylidae.